GAGAAGUCAUGCCUAUAAAACAGGAGCAGACUGAGGCUGCUUGGAGCAGAAUGGCUUCAGCAGAGAAAAGGCAAAGGAGAAGGAAGAAGUGCUGGGGUGGACAACCCAGAGCAGACUCCUGUGAUCUGAUGGAUUCUGAUAAAAGUUCAGACUAUGUAGAGAGACUAGCACACAAAUACAUGCGAAAAUGCACAGUGGAGUCCAGUACGGAGUCAGAAUCUGAAUCCAAUAAUGAGACUCUUGCAGAAAUUUUUAGAGCGCUUAAACUGAAUUCCAAACGUGUGGCAACCAUGUAUGAAACCAUUUGUUAAUACGUAUGUCUGAUGGGAAUACUUCCUCAAACAGGGCCUGCCCAACACACGGACUGAGGGAGUCUUCAAGAAAGCAAGAGAGAUGCUACUUCAGUUUUUAGAUCCAUAUGAUGGUGAUUCAGAAGAUGCAUCAACCCAUUCAGAUUGUAGUUUGAAUUCUCUUAAUGAUAUAAACUAUAACAGAGUUACACCUUUGGGGCACAAUUUACCAGAGAUGGUGGAAGACAUUUACUCUUCUGAAAACAAAGAGUCCCUACAUAUGUUUUCAAAUUGGGUCUCCCCAAUAACAGAAAUCUGUGAUGUCUAUAUGCAGCCAGAAAAUGACCUUAAAAUACAGAUGGAAGUUAUCACUAAAGAGAAAAGUGAUGUUCCAAUAAGACUUUCCAGGCCAUGUGAACUGUCCAGAGCCUCUGGAGUACUUACCUCUGCAAUGUGGCUGACAUCUGACUGUUCCUUACUCAUGAGUGGUGACCCUUCAAAGUAUCCUGGAGUCCUAGAAAGCCCCGUCACCACUAUUCUGCAACAACCCAUGUUAGCAAAGUCUGAUGGUGAAAAUACAAUGUGUGACCAAUCAAUAAUCAAGAGAAAACUAGCGCUUCCACUUCUAGAGGGUGUUGGUGAAAAGCUAAGAAGAAAGAAAUUGCGUGCAACCUAAUCUAAGGUACAUAUAGGCUAAUUAUAAUCUGGAAUUCCCUCUGUUUAAACAUAUCUCUAAUUUACUAUAGUACAAGACAACAUGUCAGCUAGGUCUAGCAGUACCCUACAGAAUAUUAAUGCUUAUGUAGGGGAAAUGGAGCUAAUAUAGGCUGUACCAGUAGUUGUGAUCAAACCUGAUCCCAUCCAAUAUACAGUUCUCUGCCUUCAGUCCUGUGUUUCUCCUGCACCUGUGGCCAAGUAAUUAUGCAUUUCUUAAGCAAUAAGCUACAGCAGAUACUAUGCCUUAUUUUAUACAUGCCUAUGCUAUUGCUGCAGGGGUCAGGCCUUUUCAUGAAAGGGUAGUUAUUGUGAUGCUACGCAUUUCUCCAACUAAACCGAAGUAGUGUUGGUACAGAAUAAGUAGCACUCAUCAUAGUGUUUCACCUUCACAGUGACUGCACCAUCUUCAGAGAGGCCUGUGCCUGCUUCCUGCAGCUGCUUUGUUCCCAUUGUGAUUGGUCACUUGCAGGUUCAGCCUUGGAUAACUGCCAAAAUAACUCAAAUCACACAAAUCAGAAGUUUGUGGGAGCAGAUAAUGCUCAUCAACUUUCAUUUUGCAGGGUCAAACUGACUUUCCUUUUUAUUCAGUGUUGACAAUUAACUCUAAUAGAUCCUGUUUCUCUAACCUUCUCUCCAGCACAGUGCAUACCAAUGUGGGUUUAUAAUGUAAAUACCAGCAGUUGAAGUUCUUCUACAAUGAGGGGUGUUUGUUCUUCCUUUAUGAGAAUGAUUUUUCUCUUUCUCAAACCCAGCUGCUAAACAGAAUGACCAGGACCCAGAGAAUAAAUAAGUUUUAAUUAGCAGGGCUACCUCUUUUUGCCAUAUGGUAGAGGAUAGAUUUUUUUUUUGUGUGUGUGUGUAAUCUAGAGAAGAAGGGCUUCAUGAGCCCCUUUGCUCAGCACUAGUAAAACUGGCUGCUCCUGAACAAAUGUAGAGGUGUGGGAUGUGCCUCUUAGCAGGAAGAGUGAGAGAAGGGUAUUUUGUUGCAGCACCACCCAGAGCCACAGGGAUGUUUGUUUAAACUUCUUUUCAAAUCUGUUAUCCCAGUAUAUAACCUGUGUUUAUUACAAUUGAAAUAAACUUUAAACCAAGCCUAAACUUUAUUGCUCGUCCUUAUUAACUGUAUUUUCUCAAGGUGGACCUGAGAAGUGGGGCAAGUGAAACAUAAAAUCUACAUCAAGUGUUCUAUUGAACAUCAGUUAGAACCUGUGUCUUAAGUUCAUGAAAAGUUCCACCUUACUUAAAAAUCCUCCAAAGACUCACUCGUGUGCUAGAGUAUGUAUGUUGCUAGUAUGGAUUUCCAUAAUGGAAGAGGGGGAAGAAUACUUAAUAUUUAAUGAGUGGCUACAAUGUAAAAUCAUUGAACUUGGUGAACACAAAUGAAGAAUGGAAGCAAGAGAGCAUGUUGAAGGUAUAGUUUCUUUUAGUAAACUCUUGUGCUUAAGGAAAACUAAGUUAAUUACAGCUGUGAUGUGCUGGAGGAUGACUAUUCUAGUAUGCUGAAAUUUGCUGGGAAUAAAAAUGCUUUUGCUCGUUUUUCUUCCCUGCCAUUAUA
Molecule: RNA transcript, 2562 nt
Organism: Mauremys mutica (yellowpond turtle)
Lineage: Eukaryota; Metazoa; Chordata; Testudines; Geoemydidae
Exons: 5
Source: RefSeq, a predicted model, not a curated record